RNAcentral lists this ribosomal RNA (507 nucleotides) under uncultured bacterium. RNAcentral describes it as "partial 16S ribosomal RNA". It matches the Rfam family "Bacterial small subunit ribosomal RNA", at positions 28 to 507 of the family's 1533-position model. The record is from RNAcentral.
GACGAACGCUGGCGGCGUGCCUAAUACAUGCCAGUCGAACGCAUUUUCUUUCACCGUAGCUUGCUACACCGAAAGAAAAUGAGUGGCGAACGGGUGAGUAACACGUGGGUAACCUGCCCAUCAGCGGGGGAUAACACUUGGAAACAGGUGCUAAUACCGCAUAAUUCCAUUUACCGCAUGGUAGAUGGAUGAAAGGCGCUUUUGCGUCACUGAUGGAUGGACCCGCGGUGCAUUAGCUAGUUGGUGGGGUAACGGCCUACCAAGGCUGCGAUGCAUAGCCGACCUGAGAGGGUGAUCGGCCACACUGGGACUGAGACACGGCCCAGACUCCUACGGGAGGCAGCAGUAGGGAAUCUUCGGCAAUGGACGCAAGUCUGACCGAGCAACGCCGCGUGAGUGAAGAAGGUUUUCGGAUCGUAAAACUCUGUUGUUAGAGAAGAACAAGGAUGAGAGUGGAAAGUUCAUCCCUUGACGGUAUCUAACCAGAAAGCCACGGCUAACUACGUG